UAGGUGCUUGCAUUUAAAUGAUUUAACAUUGAGACGAGUGGCGAACUGGUGAGUAACACGUGGGUAACCUGCCCUUGAAGUAGGGGAUAACACUUGGAAACAGGUGCUAAUACCGUAUAACAACUCAAACCACAUGGUUUGAGUUUGAAAGAUGGCUUCGGCUGUCACUUUAGGAUGGACCCGCGGCGUAUUAGCUUGUUGGUGAGGUAACGGCUCACCAAGGCAAUGAUACGUAGCCGACCUGAGAGGGUAAUCGGCCACAUUGGGACUGAGACACGGCCCAAACUCCUACGGGAGGCAGCAGUAGGGAAUCUUCCACAAUGGACGAAAGUCUGAUGGAGCAACGCCGCGUGAGUGAUGAAGGGUUUCGGCUCGUAAAACUCUGUUGUUGGAGAAGAACAGGUGUGAGAGUAACUGUUCACAUCUUGACGGUAUCCAACCAGAAAGCCACGGCUAACUACGUGCCAGCAGCCGCGGUAAUACGUAGGUGGCAAGCGUUGUCCGGAUUUAUUGGGCGUAAAGCGAGCGCAGGCGGUUUUUUAGGUCUGAUGUGAAAGCCUUCGGCUUAACCGGAGAAGUGCAUCGGAAACCGGGAGACUUGAGUGCAGAAGAGGACAGUGGAACUCCAUGUGUAGCGGUGAAAUGCGUAGAUAUAUGGAAGAACACCAGUGGCGAAAGCGGCUGUCUGGUCUGUAACUGACGCUGAGGCUCGAAAGCAUGGGUAGCGAACAGGAUUAGA
This 739-nucleotide ribosomal RNA is filed under the name Lentilactobacillus rapi. Its description in RNAcentral is "bacterial SSU rRNA". It matches the Rfam family "Bacterial small subunit ribosomal RNA", at positions 59 to 782 of the family's 1533-position model. Lineage: Bacteria; Bacillati; Bacillota; Bacilli; Lactobacillales; Lactobacillaceae. The record is from RNAcentral.